GGUGAACGCUGGCGGCGUGCCUAAUACAUGCAAGUCGAGCGAACAGACGAGGAGCUUGCUCCUCUGACGUUAGCGGCGGACGGGUGAGUAACACGUGGAUAACCUACCUAUAAGACUAGGAUAACUUCGGGAAACCGGAGCUAAUACCGGAUAAUAUAUUGAACCGCAUGGUUCAAUAGUGAAAGACGGUUUUGCUGUCACUUAUAGAUGGAUCCGCGCCGCAUUAGCUAGUUGGUAAGGUAACGGCUUACCAAGGCAACGAUGCGUAGCCGACCUAAGAGGGUGAUCGGCCACACUGGAACUGAGACACGGUCCAGACUCCUACGGGAGGCAGCAGUAGGGAAUCUUCCGCAAAGGGCGAAAGCCUGACGGAGCAACGCCGCGUGAGUGAUGAAGGUCUUCGGAUCGUAAAACUCUGUUAUUAGGGAAGAACAAAUGUGUAAGUAACUAUGCACGUCUUGACGGUACCUAAUCAGAAAGCCACGGCUAACUACGUG
Molecule: ribosomal RNA, 497 nt
Filed under: uncultured bacterium
Lineage: Bacteria
Description: partial 16S ribosomal RNA
Rfam family: Bacterial small subunit ribosomal RNA
Source: RNAcentral